This 1440-nucleotide ribosomal RNA is filed under the name metagenome. Its description in RNAcentral is "bacterial SSU rRNA". It matches the Rfam family "Archaeal small subunit ribosomal RNA". The record is from RNAcentral.
UGUUUAUCCUGCAGGAGGUUGCUGCUAUCGGAAUUCGGUUCAGACAUGCAAGUCUGCUUGCCGUCGCAAGACGGUUGGCGGCAAACUGCUCAGUAACACGUCGAUAACCUACCUUAUGGCCCGGAAUAACCUUGGGAAACUAAGGGUAAAACCGGAUAAGGGAAAGAUACUGGAACGUUCUCUCCCUCAAAGGAAACACCAUAAGAUGGGUCGGCGGCCUAUCAGGUAGUUGGUGGGGUAAAGGCCCACCAAGCCAAAGACGGGUAGGGGCCUUGAGAGAGGUUGCCCCGAGAAGGACACUGAGAUACUGGUCCUAGCCCCACGGGGUGCAGCAGUUACGAAAACUUCACAAUGCGCGGAAGCGUGAUGAGGGGAUUCCGAGUGUCGACACUUUAUGUGUCGACUUUUCUUUAGAGUAAAAAUCUAAGGGAAUAAGUGGUGGGCAAGACUGGUGCCAGCCGCCGCGGUAACCCCAGCGCCACAAGUGGGAACCACGUUUAUUGGGUCUAAAGCAUCCGUAGUCGGCUUUGUAAAUGUCCUGUGAAAUCGUUACGCUCAACGUAACGGCGUGCAGGACACACUGCAUUGCUAGAGACCAGGAAGGGUAGGGAGUAUUCCCGGGGGAGCGGUAAAAUGUUAUAAUCCCGGGAGGACUACUAAUGGCGAAGGCACCCUACUAGAAUGGAUCUGACGAUCAGGGAUGAAAGCUAGGGGAGCGAUCCGGAUUAGAUACCCGAGUAGUCCUAGCCGUAAACGCUGCAUGCCAGAUGUUGCACAAUCUUCGGGAUUGUGCAGUGUCGAAACGAAGGUGUUAAGCAUGCCACCUGGGAAGUACGGUCGCAAGGCUGAGACUUAAAGGAAUUGGCGGGGGAGCACUACAAGGGGUGCGGCGUGCGGUUUAAUCGAAUUCAACGCCGAGAACCUCACCAGGGGCGCCGGCAGAAUGAAGGUCAGUCUAAAGGGCUUACCUGACGAGCCGAGAGGUAUUGCAUGGCCGGCGUCAGCUCGUGCCGUGAGGUGUCCUGUUAAGUCAGGCAACGAGCGAGACCUGCGUCUAUACUUGCUAACGGCGUCUUCGGACGGACUGAGCACAUUAUAGAGACUGCCUUCGAAAGAAGGAGGAAGGUGCAGGCUACGCUAGGUCUGUAUGGUCCGAAUCUCCUGGGCUACACGCGCGCAACAAUGGUAGGGACAAUGGGAUGCAACUCCGAAAGGAGAAGCCAAACCUCUAAACCCUAUCUUAGUUCGAAUUGAGGGUUGCAACUCACCCUCAUGAAGUCGGAAUCCCUAGUAAUCAGACGUUAGCAUCGUCCGGUGAAUAUGUCCCUGCUCCUUGCACACACCGCCCGUCAAAUCAACCGAGCAGGCUUUCAGUGAGACGUAUCCUUUUAGAUAUGCCGAACUGAGGGUCAGUGAGGUGGGUUAAGUCGUCACAAGGUA